CAAGUGAGCAAAAUAUUUGAUAAUAAUGUAAACGCACAGCCGAGUGACGGAAGCGUAUUACAUUAAGAUAAUGAGCCCGAGUGAAGGGACAAAGAAACACGUAAGAUGAUCAGAAUAUGUAUUGGGAGGGGGUGUACUUACACUCGAACCCGGAAAAUGCAAACAUGUAAAAUGAUGUAGACAUGUAUUGGGAGGGGGUGUACUUACACUCGAACCCGAAGAAUAUAAACGUGUAAAAUGAUCAAGAUAUGCAUUGGGAGGUAGUGUACUUACACUCGAACUCGGAAAAUGCAAAUAUGUAAAAUGAUGUAGACAUGUAUUGGGAGGGGGUGUACUUACACUCGAACCCGGAAAAUGCAAAUAUGUAAAAUGAUGUAGACAUGUAUUGGGAGGGGGUGUGCUUACACUCAAACUCGGAAAAUGCAAACAUGUAAAAUGAUGUAGACAUGUAUUGGGAGUGGGUGUACUUACACUCGAACCCGAAGAAUAUAAACAUGUAAAAUGAUCAAGAUAUGCAUUGGGAGGUAGUGUACUUACACUCGAACCCGAAGAAUGCAAAUAAGACUCUUAACGGGCCGAUUUUGUAAAACACCAAAUUUGAGAACAAAGUAGGAAUAUAAAAGCGAAACGAAGUCAUAAUGCAUACCGUAAGGGUUGCAAUAAUAACGACUUCGGUAAAACACCCGGUUGGUGGGUAAGGAUUUAAACACAUGCGUAGACUGAGAAACAGGAACGCGCAUGGAAAGUCAAAAGACUCGGGUUUUGGGUCAUGACCAAAGGACGAUAAGAUAACGGCAAAUAGAAAUUUUGAUGAAUUACGCUCAACUAUUUUAAAGUUGAACGGGUCGAACAAAGAUUGAAGUUUGACAUUUAUAAGUGAUAGAAAUUUUCACACGAACAAGUCAAACAAAAUUUAAAAAAAAAGGAUGACUCUUGCUAAAGUAAGUAAGCACGAAUCAAAAAAAAAAAAAGUGCGAAAUAUUAGUAAACCUAUGUAAAUGAGUUAAAGGUGUUAAAAACAUUAGAAUAAAAGAACCCGGGUAAUGGGACGUAAAGAAGUAUAGGUAAGAAUCGGUUAACAAUAAGUGUAGGGCAAACCGACGUGUAAUUGACGUUAGAAGUCAAGGAGUCGGAAGGAUAAUUCGAAAGAAAACAAUGUAGCCUUAGACUACGGUCAAGGUCAAACGAAAUCCAAAAAGUAAACGUGAAUAAUUCUAAAACAUAAGAGGGGGUGCCUUAAUGCCAUAUGCAUAUAUAAAUGUAUACAUAUUUGAAUAAAGACUUGAAUAAAAGAUGAUCUACGGGAUCAUCAUAACCUGCGGGAUAUGAAUUAAAGCAAAAGGAUCAUAAGGGUCUCACCUUAAAGAGGUGAAAACAUAAGGAAAUAGCCUACGAGGUUAAGUGAAGGAACCUACGGGUCAAUAGUGUAAGGUGAGGGAAUUUGUUACGAUUCCCCGCAUAAAGUAAGAACGGAAAACAAUAAAUUAUGAGUUAUCAAUUUCCUUGAUAUGGAUAAUUGACAAAAGUUAAAAGGAAAAUGCUAAACUAAAACUCCGGUUUUUGCAAGAAAUGACGUUUUUACGAAUAUGAAUUCUGAUAGACGAAUAUGUAAUAGGCAUGAAAGAUAUAAGUCUUGACACUGAUAAGUGCAAGACGAUACAUUUGAAAAGAAAGGUUGGAAUAGACCUAAACAUGACGUGACGCGAUCACGGUCAAGAGAAGUAAUGUGAAGUAAUCAUAUUAUGACCCGAGUGAUGGGUACAAAGUAACUGGACUGAUAAAUCUAGUUAGUGAGAUCGGUUAAGGUCGAAACCCAAAUUAAGAAAUUGUUUAACACGUUAUUCACUACGAAGAGUAAUGUAGAAUAAACAUAAUUUAUAAACCUAUGUGACUAAGUGGCCAACGUUUGGCGACUCGGUCAAGUAAACAACAAAGGUAUAUAGAUCGAAGAGAUAAAGUGACGGCCCAUGAGACCUCACUAACAGAAAAUAUUGAUCACUUAUUUGAGGGAUCAUAAAGCUAUAAGUUCAUGAACAAAAGAAUAGUUGCUAAAAGUGAAAGAUUUCACCAAGGACCUUUAAACGGGUCAAAACGACGGAUUCAUAAAUAAUUUGAUAGUAUAUGAAAGCGAUGAAUAUCGCUAAGUUAACCGGACUAGUGGAAAUAACGAGGUUACGCUAUUUCAAGAUUGCACUAUGUACUAUGAGAUACGUAGACAAUUAGUAACCAAAAGGAUAUUGCCAUACUUUUCUGGUAAUACUAACAAUUAGUCAAAGUAAAAGUAACGUUUAAAAGAUUUCUCGGAUCAAAUGCAUUGAGUUUGAACUCGGUGAAUUAAGCAAGAAAAGGUUUCGAGGACGAAUCCUCUUUAAGGGGGGUAGACUUGUAACACCCCGAAAACAGGUUUGGAAAUUAAACCCCGUUAAUACUAAAGACGGGGAAAGUACCGUUAGCGGUAAAAGUAAACCGGAAAAUAUUAGGAAUCAAGUGAAUAAUCCUAAUAUUGAUUAAAGGUGAAUAAGAGCUUCCAGGAAAAUAGAAUGGAUAAAAGGCCCGAUUUAACGGGACUUAAAAUAAAACGGGUUUUAACUCCCGGAACCCACUAAGUUAACUAGGUAAAAUUAACCUAGUUAGUAAUGAGUAACUAAAAAAUAAACUAUGGGUUAUAGUUUCAUUUAUGAAUCUCUAAACUUGAGGGGCUAAACAUGGGCAACUAGAGAAGUGUUUUAUUAAAACACUUGAAUAAAAAAAACGAAAAGAAAACACACAUACAUGUGUGUAGUAUGCGCGAUCAGAAGAAGGAGCCAGGAGAGAGCUCAAACCCUAGUUCAGCAAAUCCUCCAAAUCGAAGCUCAAAUCAAGCCCGAAUCGUCUGCAUGAUUACAAAUUCGUGAUCGCCUAGUCGUGAGGAUCAUAAGUUGACUCUAAACAAGCUAGGUGGGAGCUUGAAAAGGAACGGGUCAAACGGAUCAUGGAUGCGAAGAAUGUUUGCGCGGACGCGGGGGUAAAACGGCUUAUGGAAUUUACGUGGCUAUGAAUCAGCAAAUUAUUAAGGCAAGGUAUUAAAACGGGUCAAUACUUUGACCCGCACCAGGUACAUUUUGGAUGCCGGAAGACGAUCAAGCUCGACGAAGGACCGAACACAAUAUAGAUACAUGCUUCCGCACUUUAACACUUUGUAAAUUUUAAACAACGAAUUCAACCACGUUAUGUAGAAUAACUUA
Long non-coding RNA from Helianthus annuus (common sunflower), 3224 nucleotides. RefSeq lists it as uncharacterized. The record is from RefSeq and is a predicted model, not a curated record. The transcript has 4 exons. Lineage: Eukaryota; Viridiplantae; Streptophyta; Magnoliopsida; Asterales; Asteraceae.